CUUCCAGCAGACUCAUUACCCAGAAGUCAACAGCAGGGACCAGUUAGCCUCCCGCCUGCAGCUCACCGAGGGCCGAAUACAGAUUUGGUUCCAGAACCGCAGAGCCAAAUGGAGGAAGGCCGAAACGCUGAAUGAUUUAGAACUGAUGACCAGACCGCACGUGCAGCCAGCCGGCCAUCACCUGCUUUAUUAUGAGUUCUUACAGAAGGCCCCGUGCUGGCUGCCGUGCUGCUUCCCGAAACCCCUCCAAACCAAAGCUGCUCCUCAGAGCGCCGUGGACAGCCGGCUUGCUGACCAGCACGCAUUCCCCAGAUCACAGGACUCUGUAUUUUGACCCUCUGGAGACAGACAGAUAGCGACUUUCGUAUUCCUGCAAAGGAUGACGCCACCGUGAUGAGUUCCUGGUGACGCGCCAACAGGAAGUCACGACCGUCGCCUGUGAGCCACGGAGACUCACGGCACACGUCGACAACAUGAAAUAACGUUUGCGUUUUCACAACUGAACUUUGU
This is a long non-coding RNA of Pseudoliparis swirei, 510 nucleotides long. RefSeq lists it as uncharacterized. The transcript is spliced from 3 exons. The record is from RefSeq and is a predicted model, not a curated record. NCBI's taxonomy places the organism in Eukaryota, Metazoa, Chordata, Actinopteri, Perciformes, Liparidae.